AGUAAAAGUCGUAACAAGGUUUCCGUAGGUGAACCUGCGGAAGGAUCAUUAGCGAAGUCAAGUCCGGAUCUGUAGGGAUUGCAGCUGGCCUAACGGCAUGUGCUCGUCCCUUGGGUCUGUGACCUUCACUACCACACCCCACUGUGAACCAAGCGGGAGGUCGAAAGGCCUCUUGCAUCUUAUACAAACCCCAAUCGCAUGUAUUAGAAUGUCAUAGCGUUAACUCGCAACUAUACAACUUUCAACAACGGAUCUCUUGGCUCUCGCAUCGAUGAAGAACGCAGCGAAAUGCGAUAAGUAAUGUGAAUUGCAGAAUUCAGUGAAUCGUCGAAUCUUUGAACGCACCUUGCACCCCUUGGUAUUCCGAGGGGUACGCCUGUUUGAGUGUCGUGAGCUCCUCCAACUCCGGUUUUCCGGAGUAUGGGAUUUGGGUGUUGCUGGUCCCUGGUAGACCGGCUCGCCUUGAAUGCAUUAGCGAAGCCCUUGCGGCCUUGGCAGUGAUAAUUAUCCGCGCCUCGGCUUAACGACUUUGAAGGGAAAUUGCUUACAGCCGUCCUUCGGGACAAUCACUACGACUUGAC
This 581-nucleotide ribosomal RNA is filed under the name uncultured fungus. RNAcentral describes it as "eukaryotic LSU rRNA". The stretch from base 237 to 390 matches the Rfam family "5.8S ribosomal RNA". Lineage: Eukaryota; Fungi. The record is from RNAcentral.